Molecule: long non-coding RNA, 581 nt
Filed under: Salmo salar (Atlantic salmon)
Lineage: Eukaryota; Metazoa; Chordata; Actinopteri; Salmoniformes; Salmonidae
Description: lncRNA (ENSSSAG00000104887.1)
Source: RNAcentral
AGCAGUGACAGGGAAACAGCAGCAGUGAGGUGGAAACAGUAGAAGGGAGGGGGAAACAGCAGCAGUGAGGUGGAAACAGCCGCACUGAGGUGGAAACAGUAGAAGUGAGGUGGAAACAGUAGAAGUGAGGGGGAAACAGCAGCAGUGAUGGGAAACAGUAGCAGUAAGGGGGAAACAGCUGAAGUGAUGGGAAACAGUAGCAGUGAUGGGAAAACAGUAGCAGUGAGGGGAAACAGCAGCAGUGAGGGGAAAACAGCAGCAGUGAGGUGGAAACAGUAGCAGUGGGGGGGAAACAGUAGCAGUGAGGGGAAACAGUAGCAGUGAGGGGAAAACAGCAGCAGUGAGGGGAAAACAGCAGCAGUGAUGGGAAACAGUUGCAGUGACAGGAAAAUAGCAGCAGUGAUGGGAAACAGUAGCAGGACAGGGAAACAGCAGCAGUAAGGGGAAACAGCAGCAGGGACAGGGAAACAGAAAGUGAGGGGGAACAGCAGCAGUGAUGGGAAACAGCAGCAGUGAUGGGGAAACAGCAGCAGUGAUGGGAAACAGUUGCAGUAAGGGGGGAACAGUAGAAGGGAGGGGGA